This is a small nuclear RNA of Pelodiscus sinensis (Chinese soft-shelled turtle), 128 nucleotides long. The record is from Ensembl. NCBI's taxonomy places the organism in Eukaryota, Metazoa, Chordata, Testudines, Trionychidae.
AUAUUGUCAGCAGUUACAUAAGGCUAGUGCCCCCUUUGAUAAGUAUGGAAGAGGUCCUAUUGGCCUUUAGAACACACAUAUGGUUAAGACAUUGCCACUUACUUUUUGGCAUUUAACCAAGUUUUUUA